This 2211-nucleotide ribosomal RNA is filed under the name Escherichia coli. RNAcentral describes it as "partial 23S ribosomal RNA". It matches the Rfam family "Bacterial large subunit ribosomal RNA", at positions 1 to 2228 of the family's 2925-position model. Lineage: Bacteria; Pseudomonadati; Pseudomonadota; Gammaproteobacteria; Enterobacterales; Enterobacteriaceae. The record is from RNAcentral.
GGGUUGUGAGGUUAAGCGACUAAGCGUACACGGUGGAUGCCCUGGCAGUCAGAGGCGAUGAAGGACGUGCUAAUCUGCGAUAAGCGUCGGUAAGGUGAUAUGAACCGUUAUAACCGGCGAUUUCCGAAUGGGGAAACCCAGUGUGAUUCGUCACACUAUCAUUAACUGAAUCCAUAGGUUAAUGAGGCGAACCGGGGGAACUGAAACAUCUAAGUACCCCGAGGAAAAGAAAUCAACCGAGAUUCCCCCAGUAGCGGCGAGCGAACGGGGAGCAGCCCAGAGCCUGAAUCAGUGUGUGUGUUAGUGGAAGCGUCUGGAAAGGCGCGCGAUACAGGGUGACAGCCCCGUACACAAAAAUGCACAUACUGUGAGCUCGAUGAGUAGGGCGGGACACGUGGUAUCCUGUCUGAAUAUGGGGGGACCAUCCUCCAAGGCUAAAUACUCCUGACUGACCGAUAGUGAACCAGUACCGUGAGGGAAAGGCGAAAAGAACCCCGGCGAGGGGAGUGAAAAAGAACCUGAAACCGUGUACGUACAAGCAGUGGGAGCACGCUUAGGCGUGUGACUGCGUACCUUUUGUAUAAUGGGUCAGCGACUUAUAUUCUGUAGCAAGGUUAACCGAAUAGGGGAGCCGAAGGGAAACCGAGUCUUAACUGGGCGUUAAGUUGCAGGGUAUAGACCCGAAACCCGGUGAUCUAGCCAUGGGCAGGUUGAAGGUUGGGUAACACUAACUGGAGGACCGAACCGACUAAUGUUGAAAAAUUAGCGGAUGACUUGUGGCUGGGGGUGAAAGGCCAAUCAAACCGGGAGAUAGCUGGUUCUCCCCGAAAGCUAUUUAGGUAGCGCCUCGUGAAUUCAUCUCCGGGGGUAGAGCACUGUUUCGGCAAGGGGGUCAUCCCGACUUACCAACCCGAUGCAAACUGCGAAUACCGGAGAAUGUUAUCACGGGAGACACACGGCGGGUGCUAACGUCCGUCGUGAAGAGGGAAACAACCCAGACCGCCAGCUAAGGUCCCAAAGUCAUGGUUAAGUGGGAAACGAUGUGGGAAGGCCCAGACAGCCAGGAUGUUGGCUUAGAAGCAGCCAUCAUUUAAAGAAAGCGUAAUAGCUCACUGGUCGAGUCGGCCUGCGCGGAAGAUGUAACGGGGCUAAACCAUGCACCGAAGCUGCGGCAGCGACGCUUAUGCGUUGUUGGGUAGGGGAGCGUUCUGUAAGCCUGUGAAGGUGUGCUGUGAGGCAUGCUGGAGGUAUCAGAAGUGCGAAUGCUGACAUAAGUAACGAUAAAGCGGGUGAAAAGCCCGCUCGCCGGAAGACCAAGGGUUCCUGUCCAACGUUAAUCGGGGCAGGGUGAGUCGACCCCUAAGGCGAGGCCGAAAGGCGUAGUCGAUGGGAAACAGGUUAAUAUUCCUGUACUUGGUGUUACUGCGAAGGGGGGACGGAGAAGGCUAUGUUGGCCGGGCGACGGUUGUCCCGGUUUAAGCGUGUAGGCUGGUUUUCCAGGCAAAUCCGGAAAAUCAAGGCUGAGGCGUGAUGACGAGGCACUACGGUGCUGAAGCAACAAAUGCCCUGCUUCCAGGAAAAGCCUCUAAGCAUCAGGUAACAUCAAAUCGUACCCCAAACCGACACAGGUGGUCAGGUAGAGAAUACCAAGGCGCUUGAGAGAACUCGGGUGAAGGAACUAGGCAAAAUGGUGCCGUAACUUCGGGAGAAGGCACGCUGAUAUGUAGGUGAAGUCCCUCGCGGAUGGAGCUGAAAUCAGUCGAAGAUACCAGCUGGCUGCAACUGUUUAUUAAAAACACAGCACUGUGCAAACACGAAAGUGGACGUAUACGGUGUGACGCCUGCCCGGUGCCGGAAGGUUAAUUGAUGGGGUUAGCGCAAGCGAAGCUCUUGAUCGAAGCCCCGGUAAACGGCGGCCGUAACUAUAACGGUCCUAAGGUAGCGAAAUUCCUUGUCGGGUAAGUUCCGACCUGCACGAAUGGCGUAAUGAUGGCCAGGCUGUCUCCACCCGAGACUCAGUGAAAUUGAACUCGCUGUGAAGAUGCAGUGUACCCGCGGCAAGACGGAAAGACCCCGUGAACCUUUACUAUAGCUUGACACUGAACAUUGAGCCUUGAUGUGUAGGAUAGGUGGGAGGCUUUGAAGUGUGGACGCCAGUCUGCAUGGAGCCGACCUUGAAAUACCACCCUUUAAUGUUUGAUGUUCUAACGU